GGAUCUUAACUUGUUGUCCUGACGUUUCCCAACAAGGAGCAUUUACUAAACAAAAAUGGCAUUUCCUCGGGCAGACUAUGAAACAAAGUAUCCACCCUAGAAAAUCGGAAUAAGUGGUUGCAGGCAAGCAAAG
Molecule: long non-coding RNA, 133 nt
Filed under: Monodelphis domestica (gray short-tailed opossum)
Lineage: Eukaryota; Metazoa; Chordata; Mammalia; Didelphimorphia; Didelphidae
Description: lncRNA (ENSMODG00000039340.1)
Source: RNAcentral